RNAcentral lists this long non-coding RNA (329 nucleotides) under Salmo salar (Atlantic salmon). RNAcentral's name for it is "lncRNA (ENSSSAG00000090926.1)". Lineage: Eukaryota; Metazoa; Chordata; Actinopteri; Salmoniformes; Salmonidae. The record is from RNAcentral.
GGGGUAUGGUGGUAGGUGAACGGGUAGUAGGUGAACGGGGUAUGGUGGUAGGUGAACGGGGUAUGGUGGUAGGUGAACGGGGUAUGGUAUUAGGUGAACGGGGUAUGGUAUUAGGUGAACGGGGUAUGGUAGUAGGUGAACGGGGUAUGGUGGUAGGUGAACGGGUAGUAGGUGAACGGGGUAUGGUGGUAGGUGAACGGGGUAUGGUGGUAGGUGAACGGGGUAUGGUAUUAGGUGAACGGGGUAUGGUAUUAGGUGAACGGGGUAUGGUGGUAGGUGAACGGGGUAUGGUGGUAGGUGAACGGGGUAUGGUAUGUAGGUGAACGGGU